AUUAGCUAGUUGGUGAGGUAAAGGCUCACCAAGGCGACGAUCCGUAGCGGGUCUGAGAGGAUGAUCCGCCACACUGGGACCGAGACACGGCCCAGACUCCUACGGGAGGCAGCAGUGGGGAAUUUUGGACAAUGGGCGAAAGCCUGAUCCAGCCAUGCCGCGUGAGUGAAGAAGGCCUUCGGGUUGUAAAGCUCUUUUGUCCGGGAGGAAAUCCUGGCCUCUAAUACAGGUCGGGGAUGACAGUACUGGAAGAAUAAGCACCGGCUAACUACGUGCCAGCAGCCGCGGUAAUACGUAGGGUGCAAGCGUUAAUCGGAAUUACUGGGCGUAAAGCGUGCGCAGGCGGUUUUGUAAGCCAGAUGUGAAAUCCCCGAGCUUAACUUGGGAACUGCGUUUGGAACUACAAGACUAGAGUGUGUCAGAGGGGGGUAGAAUUCCACGUGUAGCAGUGAAAUGCGUAGAGAUGUGGAGGAAUACCGAUGGCGAAGGCAGCCCCCUGGGAUAACACUGACGCUCAUGCACGAAAGCGUGGGGAGCAAACAGGAUUAGAUACCCUGGUAGUCCACGCCCU
Molecule: ribosomal RNA, 571 nt
Filed under: uncultured bacterium
Lineage: Bacteria
Description: bacterial SSU rRNA
Rfam family: Bacterial small subunit ribosomal RNA
Source: RNAcentral